GGGGCGGAGAUCGACGACGAAGUAUUCCUAUCCUUGCUGAAAACCUUAUAACCCAAAACUUUGAAUUCUUUGUCAAAGGCGAAAUACAAACCGAAGUAAAAUUGGAUCCGGCCUGUCCAGUUUCAUCAAUAAUUUACGUUGCACGUCCUGAUGAGACGUCGAUAUCCAGUAAUGGUUUCCGAAAAACCCAAAUUUCCAAUGAGGUUGAUAUUUUCAGUCAGAUUGUAAACGCUGCAACGACUGAGAGCGCCGAAAUUUCCGUUUAGUAGCAGAGUGCAAUCAGAAAAACUGCUUCGAUAAACCGUCGUCGACAACUUUAGUUAAUGAAUUGGUUGCGUAGUUAUGUAAUUGAGACUUUCUCCUACAACCUCCGACCAGAAACACUAAAC
Long non-coding RNA from Folsomia candida, 389 nucleotides. RefSeq lists it as uncharacterized. NCBI's taxonomy places the organism in Eukaryota, Metazoa, Arthropoda, Collembola, Entomobryomorpha, Isotomidae. The transcript has 4 exons. The record is from RefSeq and is a predicted model, not a curated record.